Molecule: ribosomal RNA, 253 nt
Filed under: uncultured bacterium
Lineage: Bacteria
Description: partial 16S ribosomal RNA
Rfam family: Bacterial small subunit ribosomal RNA
Source: RNAcentral
UACGGAGGAUGCAAGCGUUAUCCGGAAUGAUUGGGCGUAAAGCGUCCGCAGGUGGCUGUGUAAGUCUGCUGUCAAAGAGCAAAGCUCAACUUUGUAAAGGCAGUGGAAACUACACGGCUAGAGUGCGUUCGGGGCAGAAGGAAUUCCUGGUGUAGCGGUGAAAUGCGUAGAGAUCAGGAAGAACACCGGUGGCGAAAGCGUUCUGCUAGACCUGUACUGACACUGAGGGACGAAAGCUAGGGGAGCGAAUGGG